This 447-nucleotide ribosomal RNA is filed under the name uncultured bacterium. Its description in RNAcentral is "partial 16S ribosomal RNA". It matches the Rfam family "Bacterial small subunit ribosomal RNA", at positions 29 to 523 of the family's 1533-position model. The record is from RNAcentral.
AGCGGACGCUGGCGGCAGGCUUUACACAUGCAAGUCGAACGCCCGUUCGGGGGAGUGGCAGACGGGUGAGUAACGCGUGGGAAUUUGCCUUUUGGUGGGGAAUAAGGCAGGGAAACUUGCGCUAAUACCGCAUAAGUACGGUAGGGGAAAGAUUUAUCGCCAAAAGAUAAGCCCGCGUCUGAUUAGCUAGUUGGUGAGGUAAUGGCUCACCAAGGCGACGAUCAGUAGCUGGUCUGAGAGGAUGACCAGCCACACUGGGACUGAGACACGGCCCAGACUCCUACGGGAGGCAGCAGUGGGGAAUAUUGGACAAUGGGCGCAAGCCUGAUCCAGCCAUGCCGCGUGAGUGAUGAAGGCCUUAGGGUUGUAAAGCUCUUUCGUGUGGGAAGAUAAUGACUGUACCACAAGAAUAAGUCCCGGCUAACUUCGUGCCAGCCGCCGCGGUAA